RNAcentral lists this ribosomal RNA (253 nucleotides) under uncultured bacterium. Its description in RNAcentral is "partial 16S ribosomal RNA". It matches the Rfam family "Bacterial small subunit ribosomal RNA", at positions 524 to 776 of the family's 1533-position model. The record is from RNAcentral.
UACGUAGGGGGCAAGCGUUGUCCGGAUUUAUUGGGCGUAAAGAGCGUGUAGGCGGCUUUACAGGUCCGUUGUGAAAACUCGAGGCUCAACCUGUGAAUGCCGCUGGAAACUGUCUGGCUAGAGUCCGGAAGGGGCGAGUGGAAUUCCUGGUGUAGCGGUGAAAUGCGCAGAUAUCAGGAGGAACACCAAUGGCGAAGGCAGCUCGCUGGGACGGUACUGACGCUGAGGCGCGAAAGCGUGGGGAGCAAACAGG